RNAcentral lists this ribosomal RNA (376 nucleotides) under uncultured eukaryote. RNAcentral describes it as "SSU rRNA". It matches the Rfam family "Eukaryotic small subunit ribosomal RNA", at positions 587 to 968 of the family's 1831-position model. The record is from RNAcentral.
AGCUCCAAUAGCGUAUAUUAAAAUUGUUGCGUCUAAAAAGCUCGUAGUUUGAAAACUUGCCUUGGCUUACAACAGGUUCCUAACUGGGGCCGCCGUUUGUUGAGAGCAAAUAUCGAUGACUGUUUUUGCCGACUUCAUUGUUUGGCUUAUAAGAGUUAUCAAAUAUCACUUUGAUUAAAUUAGAGUGCUUAAAGCAAGUGUGUUACUUGGAUAUAAAUGCAUGGAAUGAUGGAAUAUGUUGUUGUUCUAUUUGUUGGUUUUUGAACGAUAAAAUGAUUGAAAGGAACUGUUGGGGGCAUUCGUAUUGUUGUGAGAGAGGUGAAAUUCUUAGACCACAGCAAGACGAACUACUGCGAAAGCAUUUGCCAAGAAUGUU